Molecule: transfer RNA, 91 nt
Filed under: Comamonas aquatica
Lineage: Bacteria; Pseudomonadati; Pseudomonadota; Betaproteobacteria; Burkholderiales; Comamonadaceae
Description: tRNA-OTHER
Source: RNAcentral
GCGGUCUGUGUGAAGGUAUCAAGGAACUGUCUAGACAGCGUCUAAGCUUCCCAAGCUUGAUACGUGGGUUCGAUUCCCAUCACCCGCUCCA